UUUUUUUUCUAUUGAAUUUGCUUAAAAAAGAUAACUGAGUAGCAGUUUCAAGUGCCUCUAUAAAGUACAAAGAAAUAAGAAAAUGCUCCUUUACUGAAGACCCUGGUUGUCCACACAGACAGAGUGCUAGCUAGGCACUGAGCUGUCCAGUUGGGGACUGCUUUCCCGAGUCCGUCCUGCUGUUCCACGUGGCCAGGGGACUAAUCCUCACCGAGGGAUGGAAGUUGAAGGGGUGUAUGCCAUUUCAGGUCCCUUCCACCUUCUCUCUGCUUCCCACCAGCUGGAACCCAGCGGUGUGCCCUCAGCCAGCCAUGCAGACAAAUACUUGGCGCUCUCAGCACCCAGGGAAGGAACCUGGGUCCACGGAGGCCUCUGCAGAGCCUUCUGCACAGCUCUGCCUACAGCAAGAGAGCAACGCAUGCCUUCGUUUCCAAGCCACGGAGUGUGGAGGGGCUAUCACAGCCCAUGUCCAUAUGCCAGGGACUCUGAAAGGGCCCAGUGAGAGAUCUUCAUAUAGAAGGAGUGAGGGUUAGGCCUGACUCUCUAAAACCUGUGCUUCUGAAAUACUCUUGGAUUCACGUUUGCUAUUGUUUUUAGGGAAAAAGAUAAAGAUGACUAUGUGGUCAGCCUCCCGGCACCCUGGUCCGUCUUAAGCUGAACAUUGAGCAUGCUCAUCAGUGGCACAGUCCUCUUUGAUCAGAUGCUCUACCAAACAGCCAUGCCUUGCCCCUUCUUCCUCAGGAAAGUGGGGUGCACAGUCACAGAGCAGAUGAGUAUAGCCCGCCAGCACAGAGACGUGGAGGCAAAAGGACUUCAUAUGUCCAAAGAGCAGCAGUGGACUUCCUCCACUCAUGGCCAGGUAACUGGACAGAACCAGGGGUUCCAGAUGUCCUCAAACGCCAGCGCUCUGCCCACCAUACCCUCAAGGCUCCACCCCUCCCACAGCUGUGGAACCUUCCAGACUAGCCAUGCUGAGCCCACAGAGCACUGGGUCCAGGCACCACAUGAUGCUCCAGAGCUCUGAUCACCAAGCCAAGAUGAGGACGGAGGAAAGGACACAGUCCACCAGGUGGAGCAGGUAAGACUUCGAGGCUUCGGGGGAAGCAGCAAGUUCAAAGGAACACAUUCCCAGGAUUGGACGAGCAGUAGGGAGUUGGAAUUCUUUCAAAAUGUAAUUUCUCGCAAAACUGCCAUUAUUUGAGCUAAAGCCAACAAACUGAGACCCUGUGGUCUCUAGAGAAAUUUUGCACCCCUGACCCUUAACUACCUAGAAGAUCUUAAAUUAGUGGCCCAUAAUGAGAGAUGAUCAGAGAUAACCUUCUGACCUAUCAGUAGGGCAGGGCAAACUACUAAUUACUGAACACCUGUUCUUGUCCUGAGAACGUCCUUCCUCCUCUCUGGAGCCCCAGGGCAUCUAACCACACACCUGGCUCAUAAUUUGAUAUGUACCUAUUCCCCCCCUUUUUUUUCUUCAUUGAUUAAGAUAUUACAUAUGUGUCCUUAUCCCCCC
Myotis brandtii (Brandt's bat) is the source of this 1510-nucleotide long non-coding RNA. RefSeq lists it as uncharacterized. The record is from RefSeq and is a predicted model, not a curated record. The transcript is spliced from 3 exons. NCBI's taxonomy places the organism in Eukaryota, Metazoa, Chordata, Mammalia, Chiroptera, Vespertilionidae.